Molecule: long non-coding RNA, 2894 nt
Organism: Vidua chalybeata
Lineage: Eukaryota; Metazoa; Chordata; Aves; Passeriformes; Viduidae
Exons: 2
Source: RefSeq, a predicted model, not a curated record
CUGUCCUUCUCCUCUAGCGACCCAGGGCCAAAACCGAGAUUAUUUCUCCAAAUUUCCCUAUAUUUCAAGGACAAAAACAUCCAUCCUGACCAGGUGCCAAUGGCCAAAACUGGGAUUCCACCUCUAAAACUCCAUACAGCCAAGGAUUGCUCCCCAUUAAAAGCAGCCAGGACAGACAGGUCUGGCUGCCCUUGGCCUCUUGGGGGCUGCCUCUCACCUGCCACUGGGGCUUGAUGCUUUCCUUCCUAUGGAUACUGUCCUUCUUCUCAAGAGGAUCAUUGUGGUCAAAACUGAGAUUCCUCCUCCCAUAUUCCUUAUAUCCAAGGAUUCCUCCAUGACAAAAGCUGCCAGGACAAACAGGUCUGGCUGGCUCAGCCUCCCAGGAACCCCAUCUCUCAUCUUUUACUUUUGAAACACUUGGGUUCAGUGCUUUCCUUGCUAUGGAAAAGAACCAUCCUUCUUAUCCACACAGAAAUAGCCGAAAUUGGGGUUCCACCUCCCAAAUUCCCUACAUCCAAGGGUUGCUUUCAGACAAAAGCUACCAGGACAGGGAGGUCUGGCUGGCCUUGGCCUCUGGUGGCCGCCUUUCAUCUGCCCCUCAAACACCAGUGUUCUGUGCUUUCCUUCCUUGGAAAAGAACCAUCCUUCUCCUCUGGGUGCCCAUGUCUGAAAUUGGGAUUCCACCUCUAAAAUUCCCUAUAUCCAACGGUUGCUCCCAGCCAAAAUCUGCCAGUACCGUCAAAUCUGGCUGGCAUUGGCCUCUGGUGGCUGCCCCUGCCACACUGGGGCUCGGUUCUUUCCUUCCCAUGGAGAUCCCUGUGACACUGUGGGGACCUCAUGGAACCAAGGGGAUCAUUGUGGCACCACUGGAGCCCAUGGAACCAAGGGGCCAUGGUGACACAGCAGGGCUUCAUGGACCCAGAGACCAUCAUGACUCUGUGGGGCUGAUGGAACCUUCAGGGCCUCGUGUCACCAAGGGGGCAUUGUGACACCUCAGGGCCUCCUGGAAGCAAGGGACCAUUGGGACACUGUGGGGUCCCAUGGAACCGAGGGCACAUGGAACAGGUCUGGCUGGCUUGGCCUCCCAGGGGCCACCUGACAGGUCUGGCUGAUCUUGGAAUACCAAGGGCUGCCUCUCAUCAGCUCCUGCAGCACUGGGGCUCCGUGCUUUCCUUGCUAUGGAAAAGAACUGUCCCUCUUUUCAGAUGCCCAUUGCUAAAAUUGGUACCCUCCCUAAAAAAAUUCCUAUUUUUAAGGGUAUCUCUCAGAACAAAAUCUGCCAGCUCUGGCCAGCCUUGUCCUCUGGUGGUCACCACUCAUCUGCCCCUGAAACACUGGGGCUCUGUUCAUUCCUUGCUAUGGCAAAGACCUGGCUUUCAAGUCCAGGGACCAUGGCCAAAAUUAAAAUUUGACCUACCAAAUUCCAUAUAUCCACUGAUUGUUCCCAGACAAAAGUAGUCAGGACAGACAGGUCAGGCUGGCCCUGUCCUCUGGUGAUUUUCAAUGAGCUGAAAGUUUUCAUUUGAAAACACCUUGGGGAGGGCCCAGAGAUCUCCCAAGGUGGGAUUUUGAGGCCUCAGGCACAUGACAACUACAUACGGACAAAGGAGCUCUGUGCUCUGUGCUGUUGUGGUGGUUUUGCAUCACACAAGUGAUGUCCUGAGAGAAGCUGCUAGCAGUUUCCUCCGUGUCUGACAAAAAACAAUCAGUAAUUAGCUUUGAGAAUUAACAGUCUGUUAAACCACUAAGGAAACUGCACACGCCUCUGUGAAGACACAAGUUAAAGAGGAAGGAGUCUGGCUGGGUCUCUUUCCCUUCUGGCCAGCAAAGAGGUGCCAAGGCCGGGCCAGCCCCCGUCUGGGCCGGGGCGGGCCGGGCGGCUCCUGCCGUGGGGCCGGGCCCCUUCCCAGGGAGCCCGCCAGGCCCCAUCGGCUGCCGGGCAGGGGAGGGGAGGCCGCGGGGCCGAGGCCGGGCCGGGCCGUGGCUGCGCUUGCUGACAUCUGGCCGCUGCCGAGCCCUGCCCCGCCGCCAGCCCGGGCCCAGCCAGGAUCCGCCAGGCCCCAGGAGCAGCCCCGGGCCGGGCCGGCUGGGCCAAGCUUCUGCCGCCCUUGGGCUUGGCCCGCAACCAGCGGGCAGGGCCAGGAGAAGCCAUCGGCCCCGGCCGUGCUGCUGCUCUGCUCUGGCCUGGCUGCUGAGAUCCUGGCCCUGCCCCCAACGCUGCCCAGCCUGACACAGCCCCAACGCAGCCGCUGCACAAACCUCCAAGCUUUGCAGAAGGAUGGAAUUGAUACAUCAGACUCUCUUUUUCCCUAUAAUGCACUGAAAAGUAUAGGGAGAUGACUUGUUCAGCAAAGGCCUCCAUGCUAAAGUAAGCAAAUGUUGAAGUUGCUGUGAUCCCAUGAGAAGUUUGAACAGAGAUAGAGAGAAGAGUGAUGAGACCGUGUGCCCUCAGGGAGAGAAGAAGAAGACCUCUGUUCCCAGAGAUGAAGAUGAUUUCAGAAAUAGAUGAAGAAAACCUUUGCUCUUAAACAGCUCAUCUUUAAAGCAACACCCCAUAAGUUGGCAUGGCCCAUAAAUACAUCUGUGGGAAAAGCUGUGAAAAAAUAGGAGGGACUUCACAAUUGCAGAUUUUUUCAGGCAGCUGCUACUGGAGGAACUGAAAAGCCAUGCGAGAACUGUUUUCUUGUGGAGAAAUUGCCAUAAUAUUAACAAGAGGAACUUCUCUCCCUAAGUCAAGUGAAGAAAGACUAUUCUAGUGGUGGCAAACUGACAGGCUUUCUCUCUUUACAUUGUCAGGUUGUAUGGAGAGAGGAAGUGUUCUGAAAGUUUUGUUCCGAUUCUUAUUACUCUUUCUUUUAGUUACUAUUAUAAACAUUUUUAAAGUUUUGAGCCUA